GUUCACUGGAAAAUGUAACAAAUAAUUUCAAGGUUAUGUCACUCUUGGCAAGCACAGUAACGCUGGUGAAAAAAAGGGAAGUUUUCAGAGCAAGGCAAAGACUGAAAUCUUGUUUGGAGCCACCAGUCUACAAAGCCCGCAGUGGAACCAUAGUGCUCAGAUUCACAGGGGUCUCUGAUGCUCCCAGAUAUGGAAUGCCAACUGACUCUAAGAAGGAUUUUAAUAUGGAUCAAAGGGCACGUGGAUCUUCAGGAAGAAGGAAAGGAGGACAGAAGUUUCGACCUCUCAAGCAUCCCACCUCUUUUUCAUGAGUCUCAAAGAAGACCCUCUGUUUAACGAGUCCCCGUCUAGCUUCCUCUUUGCAAGAAUGGGCUAUAAAGACAGUGGAGGAUCCCUUCUGCAGGGGCUGGAAUUCAUACAACAGGAGGCGCUGUCAGCAGCAGUCGAGCCUGCCUCUUGGAAUCACGUCUGUCUCACCCCCGGCAGCCUCGUGCCUCAAAGGCUGGACCAGUGGCUGUGCCCUGGGUCUAGUGCAGUCCGGCUGGUGAGCGGCCCCUGCCAGGCCCCGAGGAGUGACACCUUACGUCUACUGAGCUCAGCCUUCCAGAUUUUAUCAUGCUGUUCGAGUGCACGGAGAUGUGAGGGCUGGAGAUGUGGGGGCUUCAGUUUCUGCGUUUUGGCCUCUUCAAUCAGCUGCUUGCUCUCUCACCACUGCCACAACCAGCGUCUCCACUGGGAGCCUCCGGAGCGGACCGCGCCUCCGGAGCAAGAGCUGUGA
Molecule: long non-coding RNA, 778 nt
Filed under: Ovis aries (sheep)
Lineage: Eukaryota; Metazoa; Chordata; Mammalia; Artiodactyla; Bovidae
Description: lncRNA (ENSOARG00000026213.1)
Source: RNAcentral